This 1220-nucleotide ribosomal RNA is filed under the name Klebsiella aerogenes. RNAcentral describes it as "bacterial SSU rRNA". It matches the Rfam family "Bacterial small subunit ribosomal RNA", at positions 67 to 1273 of the family's 1533-position model. The record is from RNAcentral. Lineage: Bacteria; Pseudomonadati; Pseudomonadota; Gammaproteobacteria; Enterobacterales; Enterobacteriaceae.
CGGUAGCACAGAGAGCUUGCUCUCGGGUGACGAGCGGCGGACGGGUGAGUAAUGUCUGGGAAACUGCCUGAUGGAGGGGGAUAACUACUGGAAACGGUAGCUAAUACCGCAUAACGUCGCAAGACCAAAGUGGGGGACCUUCGGGCCUCAUGCCAUCAGAUGUGCCCAGAUGGGAUUAGCUAGUAGGUGGGGUAAUGGCUCACCUAGGCGACGAUCCCUAGCUGGUCUGAGAGGAUGACCAGCCACACUGGAACUGAGACACGGUCCAGACUCCUACGGGAGGCAGCAGUGGGGAAUAUUGCACAAUGGGCGCAAGCCUGAUGCAGCCAUGCCGCGUGUAUGAAGAAGGCCUUCGGGUUGUAAAGUACUUUCAGCGAGGAGGAAGGCGUUAAGGUUAAUAACCUUGGCGAUUGACGUUACUCGCAGAAGAAGCACCGGCUAACUCCGUGCCAGCAGCCGCGGUAAUACGGAGGGUGCAAGCGUUAAUCGGAAUUACUGGGCGUAAAGCGCACGCAGGCGGUCUGUCAAGUCGGAUGUGAAAUCCCCGGGCUCAACCUGGGAACUGCAUUCGAAACUGGCAGGCUAGAGUCUUGUAGCGAUAGGGGGGUAGAAUUCCAGGUGUAGCGGUGAAAUGCGUAGAGAUCUGGAGGAAUACCGGUGGCGAAGGCGGCCCCCUGGACAAAGACUGACGCUCAGGUGCGAAAGCGUGGGGGAGCAAACAGGAUUAGAUACCCUGGUAGUCCACGCCGUAAACGAUGUCGACUUGGAGGUUGUGCCCUUGAGGCGUGGCUUUCCGGAGCUAACGCGUUAAGUCGACCGCCUGGGGAGUACGGCCGCAAGGUUAAAACUCAAAUGAAUUGACGGGGGCCCGCACAAGCGGUGGAGCAUGUGGUUUAAUUCGAUGCAACGCGAAGAACCUUACCUACUCUUGACAUCCAGAGAACUUAGCAGAGAUGCUUUGGUGCCUUCGGGAACUCUGAGACAGGUGCUGCAUGGCUGUCGUCAGCUCGUGUUGUGAAAUGUUGGGUUAAGUCCCGCAACGAGCGCAACCCUUAUCCUUUGUUGCCAGCGGUCCGGCCGGGAACUCAAAGGAGACUGCCAGUGAUAAACUGGAGGAAGGUGGGGAUGACGUCAAGUCAUCAUGGCCCUUACGAGUAGGGCUACACACGUGCUACAAUGGCAUAUACAAAGAGAAGCGACCUCGCGAGAGCAAGCGGACC